Molecule: ribosomal RNA, 495 nt
Filed under: uncultured bacterium
Lineage: Bacteria
Description: partial 16S rRNA
Source: RNAcentral
UACUCCCCAGGCGGGAUACUUAUUGUGUUAACUGCGGCACAGGGGGAGUUGAUACCCCCUACACCUAGUAUCCAUCGUUUACGGCGUGGACUACCAGGGUAUCUAAUCCUGUUUGCUACCCACGCUUUCGUGCCUCAGCGUCAGUUACAGUCCAGAAAGCCGCCUUCGCCACUGGUGUUCUUCCUAAUCUCUACGCAUUUCACCGCUACACUAGGAAUUCCGCUUUCCUCUCCUGCACUCUAGAUAUCCAGUUUGGAAUGCAGCCCCCAGGUUAAGCCCGGGGAUUUCACAUCCCACUUAAACAUCCGCCUACGCACCCUUUACGCCCAGUAAAUCCGGACAACGCUCGCCACCUACGUAUUACCGCGGCUGCUGGCACGUAGUUAGCCGUGGCUUCCUCCUCUGGUACCGUCAUUAUCGUCCCAGAAAACAGGGCUUUACAAUCCGAAGACCUUCAUCACCCACGCGGCGUUGCUGCGUCAGGGUUUCCCCCAU